RNAcentral lists this ribosomal RNA (170 nucleotides) under uncultured rumen bacterium. RNAcentral's name for it is "partial 16S ribosomal RNA". It matches the Rfam family "Bacterial small subunit ribosomal RNA", at positions 340 to 524 of the family's 1533-position model. The record is from RNAcentral.
UACGGGAGGCAGCAGUAGGGAAUAUUGGGCAAUGGGCGAAAGCCUGACCCAGCAACGCCGCGUGAAGGAUGAAGGUCUUCGGAUUGUAAACUUCUUUGAUCAGGGACGAAACAAAUGACGGUACCUGAAGAACAAGCCACGGCUAACUACGUGCCAGCAGCCGCGGUAAU